Molecule: long non-coding RNA, 1054 nt
Filed under: Bemisia tabaci
Lineage: Eukaryota; Metazoa; Arthropoda; Insecta; Hemiptera; Aleyrodidae
Description: lncRNA ENSSWEETPG002290
Source: RNAcentral
AUGCAGCUGUUCGUGAUGGCGGUGAUCGUGCUGAGCCUGUCGCUAAUCACAAAGCUGGAUGCGGUGCUGGAGCAGUCGUUCUCCGGGCGGGAGCAGAUCCUCUCCUGGGCGAACGGCGCGUACGCCUGGCUCAAGUCGCAGUCCUGCGCGGAGCCCGUGUUCGCGGACGAGAAGACGUGCCUGGACGUGACGGGGCGGCCCAAGUCGGAGAUGCGCCUCUACGCGGCCGGGCCCAACUCCAACGGCCCGCUCACGGCCGUCUUCCCCGACGGCGAAGCCCGCCACGCCGGCAGCCAUGACGCAAUCCUCGUCCUCGACCCCUACCCCAACCUCCGCUUCGGACACUUCGUCCUCAUGUUCUUCGUCGACUUCAACACCCCAACGACAAGUGCGCCCAAGAGAACGGCACCCAUUUUGAUAACGGGGACUGUUUGUACCUAGCGAAGAAGCAUAAAUGCAACAACCGAAACCGGCAGUCCCUACGGCGGCGUAUGUCCCACAGCAACCACAACUGUGAGCUGAUGUAUCUACCUCUGGUCCAUGUCGCCUCGGAGCCGGCCCACCAGAAUCAGGACCUCCUCGAGUGUCAGUCCAACAUGACGGGGUUCGAACCCAGUUGUCCGGGUCUCCGCGCCCGUUCCCUGACUAACCACAUGCAGUGCGACCCCCUUCUGCUCAACACCAACAAGUGUGACACCACCAGCUACGUCCGCACGCGGUGUCCUUUUAUGCAAACUUGCGAUCACGUAAGUGUAGAGAAAAAAAAUCAAUCAAUGAAUUAUGUGGACUACAUUUUGCAGUAAGGAAUUACUAUUUCUUAAAACUUUCAUUCGUAAAGGCAACUAUCUGCAUAGAAAGAAAAAUGAUUACUAAGAUUAUGUUGAUCUAAAUCGAUUGGGCGUCGCAGAGCGCGAGGCUGCGCUAUAAAAGCGGCUCUAUGUAUGUAUGUUGAUCUAAAUUGAGCCAAAAAUAUUGAGCCCCUUAUCGCGAAAUGUAGUACAAAUGUACAAAUUUGGGGUCACCUUCUUGGUGCAUGUACCGGGUGAAACGCUCC